This is a non-coding RNA of Rattus norvegicus (Norway rat), 18455 nucleotides long. The record is from RefSeq and is a predicted model, not a curated record. Lineage: Eukaryota; Metazoa; Chordata; Mammalia; Rodentia; Muridae.
GAACUUGGGGCUGACGGUGAAACAAAUCUUUUCUGCUCAAGAAGAUGGGCAUUCACUCACCAAAGCAGAGUGUGGGAUCAGUCGGAGUGGCAGUCCAGCAGGGACAGUGACAAAUGUCCUUUUGCUUGUUUCUGUAUCAAAUGAGAAUACGUGAGUUCCUGUAUGUGAAUUUGGUUGGUUGGUCAGAGGGCAACCUUGGAUGUCAUUCCUCAAGAGCUAUUUUUUUUGAAGUAGGAACUUGGGGUUUAUUGAGUAGGCUAGGUAGGUCAGGGAGGAAACAGAACAUUCUUCUGUCUCUGCUAGUGCUGCGAUGUAAUUGCUAGCACACCAUCAACAGGCACCGAUGUUUAAAAGAAGUUUUACUUAGGUUUUUACACGGGGACUGAGGAUCAAAUUCAGGCUCUUGUGUUUGUACAGCAAAUAUUUUAUUGACUGAGUCAUUUGUCCAACUCUUCCUUCUGGCCCACUUGAGGCAGGGUCUGAUGUAGCCCAGGUUGGCCUCAAACUCCUACACAACCAAGGAUAGCCUUCGGUUUCUGAUCCUCCUGAUUCUACCUCUCUAGUGCUAAGAUCACCAGUGUUGGCUACCACAAUUGAUUUGCUGGGGGAUAAAACUCAGGACUCUCUGAAUGCUGGUUUAGCAUUAUGACAACUGAGCCUGGUAUGCACCCCUGGGAAACUCUACUGUGACUUUGUAGAAGGUCUUUGUUGACCUUGGAUAAGUCAGUUCAUCUUGAUGUUUCUACUGUGAUUCUUUCUCCAGAGUAUGAGCCUCAAACUAGUCAGUCUCCCAUGCUGUCUCCUGUCAAUCAGCUCUCCAGUGGCAUCGUGGGACAGGAGGAGGAGCUAGGAAGAGGGAUUUCUAAACUUCCUUCAAAACAGUUUUGUUCUAUAUAUUGUCAUUUACUCAAAGAUAUGAUGUCCCUAAAGUGAAGUUUUUACUUGUACAACCACUGGGCUUUAUAGUUUUUGUUUUUAAAUUAAUUAGUUAGUUAAUUAAUUAAUUAUUUUCCAGUAUUAGAGGUUGAACACAGGAGCUUGCACAUGCUGGGAAAGCGCUUUGCCACUGAAUUAUUUCUCUAGCCUUUAACAGAUAUUUUCUUUUGAGACAAGGCUUUGCCAAAGUGGUCCAGACAGGAUUUGAAAAUGUUUUCUUUCUACCCCAGUUUCCCAAGUGGAUGGGCCUGCAGUCAGACCCAUUGAUGGAUGGAUAGAUGGAUGGAUUAAUUAAGACAAGGUCUCACAUGUUCAUAUGCAAUCGUACUGGGUUUAUAGAACACAUGCUAGGCAGAUAUUCUGCCAACUAGUCCAUACUCCAUGAAUCUGUCUGUGUGCCACAGUCUGACCUUGAGCCCUAGAUCCUUCUGCCUCUGUUCCUUGGGGUUAUGUACAUGUACUUUCCUCUAGAUUGCCUUCCCAUGUUCAGAGUUAUGUCCCAAAGCCUCUUGUAGUCCCCUACUCUCUGCCUUCUUCUCUUUGUUCUGGGAUAAGUGAGACUCUUGCCUGACUCUGAACCCUGCCAUGGGGAGAGUCAAAGCCUGCCAACUUUGUUAGGAGUUGCUCGAAGUCAUCAUUCUUGCAGGGUUUCCUAAAAGAAGAGAUUCUCUCCCAAACAGAUCUCUGCUUGUGUAGAGUAUGUUGCCUGACUCUUGAAGUUUUGCUUAGGAAGGUGGAAGGGGUGUGUGUGUGUGUGUGUGUGUGUGUGUGUGUGUGUGUGUAUGUGUGUGUAUAUGUGUGUGUGUGAGAAGGGGGGGGAUCCACACCCUGGAGCUGGUUGUUUGGAAGCUAUGCUAAUGAAGUGACCAUCUGCAUAGAUAAUUAUAAGUGGUCUCUCCUGACUGCUCUCCGUGUGCUGACACAGACUGAGAGGAGGUGCCCCUUUGUGACUGCUGCAGCCUGGGGUGGAGAGGCCAGAGAGGAGAUCAUGUGUCCCCCUUCACUCCGAGGCACACAACCUGCUGUGUGGACAGGUGCUGGCAGCGUGGUGUCCAUGGGCAAUGCAGGCUGCGUGCCCUGCAAGCUGACAUCUCUAUCUCUGUCUGUCUGCAUUUAAAACUGACACGACAUAAGGAAUGUCACUUUCUAUUACUCCAUGGUCACAUGUGUGUCCCUGUCGCAGUAAAAGUCCAGUGAACAAAUGUCAUGGUCACAGCUGUCCUCUUACCCCAGCUUGAUGGGACGAACCACUGCAGUGGGGUUGAAGUGACAGCUACCCACGCUGGCUUUGUCUUUUAGUUGUGGUCGCCAUCCGGUGUUUUCUGGAAUGGGAGAAUGGUUGUUCUUAGUGUUUGAUACUUUUGGCCAAGUUCGACCUCACCUUUGCUGAAUAUGGUUGUUGCCUUUGUUAAAUGCAGUUGACAUUUAGAUCUGAUAUUCAUAGACUUUGGUGCAUGACAAAUUUUAUAUGUUGAUUUUCAAAAUAGAUGGUGUUGCUUCAGCAGCCAUAUGUUAGAUCGGCGUGGGUGUAACUUGGGUCUGUACAUGCCCCUUAAUCUUCACUCUGGGAAUAUCCUGGUUUUGACUCUGGCUCCUUGCCAAUUCUUUAUCCUCUGGCACUCUUACCUGCUCUGAGAGAAUCUCUGGCCAGGCAACUUCAGGUCCCAGCGGGCAGGUAUUAGAAAACCCCUGGCUGGGUAGACAAGUACUUCUGGUGUAACUCUGUGUAAUAGAAAACCGCCUUAGGUUUGCUGAGAGAAACUAAAAUCUUCGGAGGAGGAGCCAGUGUUUUACAACUAAGAGAUGAUGACCAUACAUAUAGACACAUACAUUGGAGAGAUUUCCAAUUGUUUUAAAGCAGAUUUUAGGCCACUGCAGGGAAGGGUGUCUGUAUGUAAUAGACCUGAGUUUAUUUGUCUUUUAGAUAAAGCAUAUUUAAUGUUUAAAAGGAGUAUCAAGUAGACAUAAAGGUCUUGCCUUAUUAGUUUUUUAGGCAUUUUAUAAUUCAUCAGUGAAUUUGAAUAAACUUUCUUUGGUUCUGUUUGAUAUUCUCUUAAAAUUAAAAGGUAUUAUUUUAUGUGUUUGGAUGAUUUGCAUGCAGUGCCUACAGAUGCUAGAAAUAGAUGGUAGAUCUCCUGGAACUGGAGUUACAGAUGGUUGUUAGCAAUCUUGUGAGUGCUGGGAACUGAACCCAGGUCCUUUGGAAGAGCAGGAGUCACUCUCAACCACAGAGUCCUAGCCUUGAUAAUUCUUUUCUUAAAAAACAGAAAAUAGGGAAGAAAGCUAUUGCCUAUCACCUACCUGCCAUCUUUUGACCUGUGACUUCUUUAUCACUUAUCAUUCAUUCCCCAGAGUGCAUCAUUAGUAGAAGUUUUCUCUCUGGGUAAAUCCACAUCGCUUUCUGGGAGAACACGUGUCUAUGCAGAGAAGAAUACUUCAUUAAAGAAAAGUACUAAAUUCUCAAUGAGCUGAUUUGUGUUUACUUUGAACUCAGUCUAAAGAACACAUUGACUGUGUGCAUGUGUGUAUGUGUGUAUAUGUGUGUAUGUGUGUGAGCAUGUGCAUGUGUGUACAUGUGUGUAUUUGUGUGUAUGUGUGUAUAUGUGUGUAUGUGUGUGAGCAUGUGCAUGUGUGUACAUGUGUGUGUAUGUGUGUGUAUGUGUGUGUAUAUGUGUGUGAGAGUGUGUGUAUGUGUGUACAUGUAUGUGUAUGUAUGUGCAUGUGUAUAUAUGUGUAUGUAUAUGUGUAUGUAUGUGUGUGUAUGUAUGUGCAUGUCUAUGUGUGUGUAUGUAUAUGUGUAUAUAUGUGUGUGUGUGUGUGUGUGUGUCUGUGUGUGUGUGUAUGUGCAUGCACACUGUGCAUAGUACUCAUGGUCUCCUGUAUGCUAGACAAGCUCUGUACCACUGAACUCUGCAUAUGCCCCUCACAGAGGCAUUUGUUUGCUUUCUAUGUCUCCUUACACUGUUAUUAUUUGGGUCUUCCAAUAAAACUGGAGGAUAAAUUCAUUGUAAUUUUUAGAUUAGGAAUGUAGCUCUGGAGGAUAAAAGAAGGUAGAUUAAAUGAGACAGUGUUUUGCUAUUCCAGGCAUUUAGAAAAAAAUAGAAAAUUAGUGUCAACAUUGUAUUAUUUGCUUCUUAAAUAUUUUGGAAGAAGUCAUAUGGAUUCUUUUUGUAAUGUUUUCAAAUUUUACCUCUUUUUAGAAAAACUCUUUUAAAAUAUUUACUUAAUUUUAAUGUUAUGGUGGAGCUACAUCAAUUUCUCUCUUCCUUCACCUUCUUCCAAACCCUCCCAUAACCUCCUUGCUUUCCUUCAAAUUCAUGGUCUUUUCUUUAAUUGUUCCUAUAUACAUAUAUCUGUGUAUAUAUAAAUAUAUGGAUAUAUGUCCAUAUCUCUCUAUAUCAUCUAUCUCUCUUUCUUCCUUCCUUCCUUUCUUCCUUCCUUCCUUUCUUUCUUCCUUUCUUUCUUUCUAUCAUCUAUCUAUCUAUUUAUCUAUCAUCUAUCUAUCAUCUAUCAUCUAUUUAUCAUCUAUUUAUCUAUCUAUCAUCUAUCUAUCAUCUAUCAUCUAUCUUUCUGUCUGUCAUCUAUAUCUAUAAAUACAUAAGCACAGCCUCCUCCGUCUGUACGAUGUUAUUUGUACGUGUGUUUUCAGGGCUGACCACUUGUUAUGGGAUAACCCAUUGGGGUGCUCUUCUCUCAGUUUCCUGUAACCGUCUGUGAGGUGUGGAAGCUUCGUGGUCUGCCUCCCACCUACUUUCGCAUGUCCAUUGCUGCUGUCCUUGUUCAGCUCAUGGUUAGGUGAUUCUUUUAGUGACACUUUAUGUGUUUAGCUUCUGACGUUGUUGGAAGUCACAACCUCCAUGAGUUUCUGGCUCCCACUAUCCUUCUGCCCCCCUUCCACAACAAUCCUCCAGCCUGAGAUGUUUGUCAGCACUAGGCUCCUUGUACUUGGUUAAGUCUUCUCUAAUAGCCACCAUCUUUGCAAACAAAAGCCCCUUAAGAAGUUUUGUUCAUGUGAAGAUUUUAUACCGUAGGCUAAGUUUUUACUUUUUGUAUAUAGGGUAGUUUGGGUUAUACACUUCUCUUCAAUGGCUUUUAGUAGUUUAAUAUUUUAAGAGUCUCUUCAAUGCUAAUAGUUUUUUGUUCCACUUAAAUUAUAAAUUUAUUAGCAUCAACUUCAUAAUAUUUAUACUCUUUGUGGUAGCUGUAAGAACUGUAGUGAUGUCCUACAGAAAAUACUUAAAAUCCCAUCAUGGUGCUUCCUCCCUGCCUUAGACCAUUUAUGUUCCUGGAAGAAAGACACGCACAGCCUUUAUAUUUUUAAUUAUGCCUUAGGCAGCACAAUAGCAGGGCAGCUGCUGACCCUCCAGGCUGUUAGAAUCUAUCUUCCUAUCGAUAACCCCGUCACCGCUUACCGUGUUUCAUCUGGGCCGCUCUUGGCUCCAAUUAGGCAGCCCUCACAGCCAUGUUGUCUUGGCCCUUGGCCGAUGGCAGCUCUCCUCCUCUCUCCUUCCUUUCUUCAUGGUUCUCUCUCCCAAAGGUUUCGAAACCUCAACUCCACCUAUUUCUCUUCUGCCCAGCUAUUGGCUGUGGCAGAGUCCCAGGGGUUACAUGUAGACAUGGGGGCCCACACAUUACAGUAAAAGACACUCACCAGUGCCCUAUGUCCUAUAAUGGUGACAGUAACUUGUGCCUUCUCCCCUUCAUUUCUCAUCCGUCUGCUAGAGUUUGCCAGUUUGGUUGAUACUUACUUUUGCUUUCUGCUUUUCAUUUCAUUAAUUUCUGUAUGUACACAACACACAGUGCUGUAGUACCUGACUGGGUGAUUGCUGUAGGUGCGCACAAAAGAAUGUACGUUCUGCUAGCACGGAGUGCAAUAUUUUAUGACUGCCAAUCAAGUUAAGGUUCGUAGUAAGUGCUGUUCAAAGAUUCUGCAACUACAUUUUCUGCCCAUCAAUGACUGAGGAGACUGUUGAACUGUCCUGCUGUCCUGUGGAUUUGUCCAUUUUUUUUCCUUUAAUUUCAUCAAUCUGAUAUAUAUUUUGAAGUUCUAUUUUCAGUAUAUAAAUUUGAAAUUGUUGUAUCCUCUUGAUACAUUGACUCCUUCAUAAUAAGAUGUCUCUCAAGAGAUAUUCUAUGUCCUAAAAUCUGCCUUGUCUGAUCAAGAAAUUCUUUUUUGAUAUUUUUAUAAGCAUAAUAUUCCAGCUCUUUACUUAUCAAUAUAUACUUAAUGUAAGGUUUUUGUAGACAGCAUAUAUUUGGAUCUCUCUAUUUUUUUCAAUCUAGCCUGAGACUCUGAUGACUGAACUUCUUACGAAGUGUUUUAAGUAUGUAUUAAUAUAUUCUGUGUAGUUAUCUGUCUGAUGAGUUUAAACCUUUCCUUGGCUACUCGCUUUGUUCUUUACUGCUUUUGUCUUCUGUUUUGUCUACUUUUAGACUUAUUUGCUUUCAUGGCUCCCCUUUAUCCUUACUCUUUGCUCAUUCCUUGCACAUUCCUGUUUUAUUGCUAUUCCUCGUUGCUUUAAACAUCCUUUUUGCUAGUCUCAGAAUCCCUGUUACUUCUUUGUUUCUGUUGAUUGUUUUUCCAACCAUUAUAGAACACAUUUCUCACAGAACACAAAGUUCCUUUGAGACCUCGUUUGUUCAGAUCGAAUAUUUUUAAGGGAAUAUUUAUUAUAUAGUUCCUUGCUAUAUUCUUUUGUUUAAAAAAAACCCAAAUCACAAAAAUUUAUUUUUGCCAAGUGUGCUGGUGAGUUUCAUGACAGACAGAGCCAUAUAGUGAAACAUUUUUACUCAAACAAACACAAAGUAUUCGUUUUAUUUUUAAUUAUGUAUCUUGUGGGGUUUGUGAAGAUGAGUGCAGUUGCUCUUGGAGACCAGAGAUUGGAGUCCUAGUCUUACAGGUGGAGGUACAGGUGGUUAUGGGGACAGAAUUUGGGUUCUCUGUGAGAAGAGUACAUGCUCUUGACUGUUGAGUCGUCUUUCUUAGUCCCUGGAUUUUGUUGUGUUUUUAAAAAUGUCAUCUGAUUUUUAUUCUGGUCCGUGGCUUAUUUAAAUCUGUGGGGUUUUGUUGGCGUUAGUGGGUUUGUUGUUAUUUCCAAUGCUAAAGACUGAACCAGAACCAUUCUUCUGUUAGGCAGGCUCUCUACCACUUAGCUGUGCCUCCGUCCCCGUAGUGGCCCAUUUUGAUGUCCUUUUAAGGUGUGUUAGGAAUGAUCAAAGCCAACCUUUAGUGAAUCUCUAGCUUGAUCUCAUCUUUAUGACAGUAACUAUAUACAUCCCACCCACCAUCUUGUGCUACAGAGUCUUUCUGCUUUGUAUGGUAGCACAGAUGUCCUGUAUCCUAUUGGAACUUUUAAAAUCAAAAAGAAAUUUUUGUUACACGUGCAGUUCAGGACUUCCCCACAAAGACCUGGAAUUACCCCUGUGGCACCGGCCCUCUGCUGUGUCUGUGUCAGCCUUCUUGACUUCUUAGAAUUCUGACCGAGUGCCCUGACAGUCCUUGUGGAUUCUCCUUUCCGGCACAGAGGUCUGAAAACCACCCCAUCCGUUGUCAGUCCCAUCCUCUGUGUAUUCACCGCCCACAAGACCUUUGGUUCAGAGCAAUUGAUACUUUGUUUUGGUUGCUUCUGAAGACAGGAGGAUAGACCAAGUCUCUGCUAGUCCACCGUGAGCAGAAAUCCUGUCUCAUCUGCUAUUCUGUCUUUAAAACAGCGUUUUAGUGGGAAAAUAGCCAGCCCAAAGGAAACUUAAAAGAAUUUUACUGUGUGUUUGUGUGCAAGUGUGUGAGGACACUGGGGAUCAUUCUUCAGGCCCUGUCCAUGUCCACUUCCUUUUCGAUUUUGUUGUGUUUUGUUUUUGUUUGUUUGUUUAGUUACUCACUGGCCUUGGAUCUGCCAAAUAGGAUAGGAUUGGCUGGCCAUCGAGCCUUAGGAAUUUACCUGUCUCUGCCUCCCUACCCCAGGGCUGGGCUCACAAUAGCCUAAACACUGUUCUGCCUGUGGAUUCUGCAGAUUGAACUCAGAUAAGGGAAGCGCUGUCCUGAUCGAGUUACCUACUUAGUCCCGAAAGUCUCUUUUGGUGUACCACACUGGCAAGUUGGAUUCCUUACUUCCAGAGAGGUGAAUGAACCCAUUCCAGAAGCUUCCCAUCGUGAACGACUAGAGCAACAUCCAGGGUGGUGUGCUUUCUCAAUGUACGUGUUGAACUAAGACAGCAGAUAGGAGAGAGCCUUGCUGUGACCCGACAUCCCUGUGUGUGAAUGUAUCUCUGAAUUUCCUAUUUGGAAAUUGAAUACUGAAUUCAUGUCUGAUGAUAUUUAGAGGUCAGGUAUUUCAGAAGUAUUCGAUGAGGUCGUCAGGGUGGGAACCCCACGACAAGGCUGCUGGCUUUCUUAAAAGAAUAAGGCAGACUUGAGGUGACAAGCUUUUGUUCUGCCUGGACAAAGGAUGUCCCCCACUGUAGCGUUGUGUGGCAAGCAGGACCCCAUCAGAGGUCAACUGCAUGUGGGUUUCAUGCCAACAGAACAGAGAGCUAAAUAAAACUCUUUACAACUGACCCUAGACCAUGAUAUCAAUUUCUGCAAUGGAAAAAAAGACCAAAAUACACACAUUUUGGGAAAUGUUUUGAAUCCUGGAAGUAGUGAGGAAAGAGUAGGGAAAUAUUACAAUGUCCUCAGGAUAGACAGGAAGAGGGACCAGGACACAGUUCUUGUCCUGGGCAUGACAGUUGUGCUCCCGUUGUGUAAACUCUUACUGGCCUUUUCAAUGGCUUUCAUAAGGAAAAAACAAGGUAAGAAUAACCCUGAUUCAAGGCAAAUCUCUACGGUAUUUGGUGUGUAAGGGGAGUUGUCUGUUCUUUACAGCAGUGAUUGUUAGUCACGUGUGCUGGGCUAGAUUGAUUGUCAAAUUUGGGGAAGAGAAAGAAUUUUCCUCUGGGGUAUACUGGCAAUUAUUUUUCAGUUGUUUUUGCCCUGCCCUGGAGCAUGAAGCCAAUAUCAUUUUUAGGAUCAGGUGAGUUUAUCCAACAUGAUCAAUUUCCUGUGAUUGUCUGUGGUUGUCACUGGGGGGGGGGGGGGACAGCAACUCUCCUUGAUCACUUAGACACUAAAAGCUGUCACCUGGAAAUUGACCAGGACAUAAAACUCUGGGCCCCAACGACAGCCACAGGAAGAUCAAGAGACGAAUAAGUGGUGGAGAGAGUGGGGGAGCACAAGGCACGUUCCCCUCACUGCUGCCCUUGCAGCAUCCACUAAUGAGGUACGGGGCUGGGUAAGUGGUGUCAGGUCAUAACACAUCAGCCUCGAGAGGUCUCUGGCAGGGCCUGAAGAGUAAUGUGACAUGACAUUAUCCCUGCUACUGAGUGUUGCCUGAUAGGAACCACAGGUGAUAGAGAUGGCCUUUGUCACCACUGAGAGGAGCAACGGGCUUCCUGGUCACCUGUACAGGGAGUGCCAUUUGACACUUCCUUAACUUUGCUGGGUACUUGGCAUAGUGGGUGGAAUAGUCCCUCGAUAGUUUGUGUGGGGGGAGGGGUGGAGGUUUGCAUGUGUGAUCAUGUAUGAAGAAAUCAGAAAGCAUACUUGGGUGCUGUUGCUCAAGAUGGCCAUCCACUACUUUUUUUUUAAAAACUGUUUGGGAAGGAUUAGGAGGGGUGGCCUUGUUGGAGGAAGUGUGUCCUUGGGGGUGAGGUUUCAAAAGUCCAUGCUGUUGCCUGACUCUCUCUCUAUGUGUGUGGCAGUCAGAGGACACUUGUGGGACUCAGGAGUCCAUGCUGUCCUUCCACUACAUCUGUCUCUGGGGUCAAACUUAGGUCAUCAGGCUUGAGAGGCAAACACUAUACACUGAGCUAUCCCACCAGCCCCUUGUAUCUCUAGUUUUAAGAGUAUUUUUUAUCUACUGUUUGUUUCUAUCUUCUGGAUAUUUCUGCUCACUGGUGCUUUCAUUUUUCUUUCCAAUCAAAUGUAAGUCAGCAAACACACUUCAGAACGUCUUACGAGCCUGCUGGGUUUUGUGCUCCUUUACAGUCAUUUUUGCAGACCCUCUUCUACAGAGGUGGGCCUGUGUGUGUGUGUGUGUGUGUGUGUGUGUGUGUGUAGGUAUUUGUGGUAAUCAGAAGAUGCGGGUGCUGGCAACUAAACUUGGGUUCUCUGCAGAGCAGUGCAUUCUUCUAGCCCCUGAGUUUUCUCUGCAGCUCAAGGGUGGUCUUUUAAAAUGCAAGCCAAGAGCUCCUUGGUCACCUGUUCACAAUUCCUGAGACCCUACCAGAUUUCUUGCCUGUGUCUGUAAGGAGUUAUGUAUCCUUAGUCUAUAGUACAUGUCAGAGAUUUCACAGAUGGCCAUUAAACUACUUUGCAGGACAGACUGGAGCUAAAGCAAUGAUGGUGGUGGACAGGGGUCAUGUCUUCAGUGGGAUUACUUGCUAUUUAUACCCUUUGUCCUUUCCUUAAACCUAAAUCCCACUGUUAGGACCCUGGAGACGGACUUGGUGGUGGGGGUGCAGUCACCCGGCUUCUUCAGCUGCUCCUCUGCCUUUCACUAUUGCUUGGUCCUUGAGCUAACCUAGUGGAUGCUGUGGGUGAGCUGCUUGUUAGAUCUGCCAAAGAUCUAAGUAUCCUGGUAACAGUGCCAUUCCAUCCCUGCCAGUCACACUGGUUUUCUUUUUAUUCUCUAAAUAAAUCUAACACAUACACACACACACACACACACACACACACAUAUACACACACACAUACACACAUACACAUGCAUACACACAUACACACACAUACACACACAUGCACAUGCACACACACAAACACACACACACACAGGCACACACAUACACAUGCACAUGCACACACAUACACACAUACACAUGCACACACACAUACACACACAUACACACACAUACACACACAUACACAUACACGUGCACGUGCACACAUACACAUGCACACACACAUACACAUGCACACACACAUACAAACACACACACAAACACAUGCACACACACAUACAAACACACACACAUACACAUGCACACACACAUACACACAUGCACACACAUACACACACAUACACAUGCACAUGCACACACACACACAAACACAUGCACACACAUACACACACAUACACAUGCACACACACACAAACACACACACAUACACAUGCACACACAUACACACAAACACACACAUACACACAUACACACACAUACACACAAACACACACAUUCACACAUACACACACAUAUACAUACACACACACACACACACACCUUUUCUUUUUAUCACAAUGCAGGAGAGUUGAGUAUAAUGGAAGGCAAGACAUAGGCUUUUGACGGUGUUGGGAGUCAUUGGGAAGUUGAAGCUGCUGAUAGCACAUGAACUGGCUUUCAAAAAAUGGAGGUCCUUAGAGCCCUGACAUUAGUGACUUCUCUGGUGAACAUGGUUGCCUCAUGGUAGUGGGAAGGGAGAGAAAGAGAAGGGGGAGAGAGGAAUGUCACUGCAGAUUGUUUUUCUUUUCCUUUUUAAAAAAAUGAACCUUCUUCAGUUCUUUAGAUUUAGUUCUUUAAUUAAAAAUUAAAUGUGCAUCUAAUAGUACAUGCAUAUAAUAUCAGAAUUCAGAAGGCUGAAGCAGGAGGAUUGUGAAUUCAUAUGGUGCGACCCUGUCUCAAAAACAAUAAUAAAAUAAAAUAAUAUUUAAGUGGAUAAAUGUGAUAUUUUGAUAUAUAUGUUUAUAUUAUAGAAAGACUAAGUCAAGGGAAUUGACAUAGUGAUCAUACCCCCUACAUGUUUUUGUGUAGAGAACAUUAAAAAUUGAUUUUUUAGUAAUUUGGAAGUAUGGGGAUUUGAAUGGAAAGGUCCCCAAGGCUCACAAGGAAUGGGACUAUUAGAAAGUGUGGUCUUGUUGGAGAAAGUGUACUACUGGAACUGGGCUUUGAGGUUUCAAACUCAAGCUAGACAAUGUCACCCUCUCUUCCUGCUGCCUGCGGACCAGGAUAUAGAACUCUCUGAUGUGUAUUCAAUAGCAUGUCUGCCUGUGUGCCAUCAUUCUUCCCUCCAGGAUGAUAGUGGACUAAAUCCCUAAUAUAAAAAUUACUGUGGUCAUGAUGCCUUCUCUUUACAGCAAGGCCUGAGUAUACAGUACAACAUUAUUACUAUUGUUACAGUUAUUAUUGUCAUCAUUGCUACUAUUAUUGUCAUUUCAUACAAGACCUUGCUGUAUAUACUGCGCUCACCUAGAACUCACUAUGUAGCCCAAGCUAGUUUCAACAUAUGGGAAUUGUUUUGUUUCAGUCUCUUAAGUUCUGGGAUUACUGGGGUAAGAUAUUAUGCUCAUUACUGAUACAUUGUUUUCAGUGAUGGUUACCACUCUGUAAAUUGGAGCUUCCAGACUGAUUCUGGAGACAGCUCCACUAAGAGGUUUCUCUACUGAUAACAGCCAUGAAGAAGGAGAGUGGAUAACUGGUGGGGCCACGAGACUGUAGUUAAGACAGCAUGCAUCCAUGCUGGUGGGUUAGAGACAGUGCUAUGAUCAAAACCUCCCAGGAGAGCGGAGCAAAGGAAUCGCUCCACAAUGUUCCACACACACUAAGGGUCAGGCUGAAUCAGAAGAGGACAGGACAUCGACAGAAAUGUGGGUGGCUAGCAAGUUUGUUUGGGGCAGACGAUGGAGUGGCCUUCUGAUAGAUUUCAUUGUCUCAAAAACUGGGAGACAAAAUUAGUAAUUAGGAGAGAAGAGAGGAAAAGGGGUGGGAUUGUCUUUGUGGGAAGUGAGGGAGCCAGGCCUCCUGAUGGGGUUCAGGAGCCACUGAGCUUGGGUAAUUAUGAAUCUAAUGUGAGCAUCUGAGCCUGCUCUUCUCUGAACUGGAGGGUCUGCAGACGCUCCUCUAGGCUUCAUUGUAAAUAAAUACCACAGCACUGCGUGAUAGACCCCUGGGCUUCAGUCUGUAUCUCAGUAGUUCUUGAAUUUAGGGGAAUUUUUUUUUUUUUUUUUUUUUUUAGUUUUCUCAGUAUUAGUUUCCUUGUGUGUAAAAUAGAUAUGCCUUCUGCUACUAUUGCUAUUACAUUAUGAGUUGCUUGCCACGGACGCUUGCAUGGGAUCACAGAGAGUGGCUCCAGGCACCUGCUUCUCUCACUGCCAGCUAACUGCUGGCAUCUUAAAGAUAUUGAGGAAUGUGGGAAACUCCUUCUCCCCCUCUCUCCCUCCCUCCCCUUCCUCCCUCCUCUCCCUACCCUUCCUCCCUCCUCUCCCUUCCCUUCCCCUCACAUUUCCUUUCCUCUCAUCCCCUUCUCCCUCUCUCCCUCCCCGACUUUUGGGCACAGUCUCCUGUACAGCUCAGGAUGGCUUUGACCUCUACAUCUUCUUUCUCCUGCCUUGGCCUUCUGAAUGCUGAGAUUAUGGAGUUCACGAUCCUUUGUGAUUUUUAUUAUUUCCCUUUAUGUUGAGACAGAUUUCGCUGAGUAUACCAAAUGCCCGAGAUUUUUCAUUUCAGUUUGGAUUACUGUCUCGUUUGCUUCUUUAUAUUUGUUUCAAAAUCUUUUUUAUAAAAAUCAUUUUAUUGUAAUGAAGUCACCACUCAAAAAAAAACCCAUUGCUUUUAUUAUUGUGUAAUAUUACUUAAUCUGAGUCCCAUGGGUGGGAAGGAGGGCAAGUUAACUAUGUAGAAGGGGGAAUCUCAUAAUAUUUGCAAGCAAGAUAACUAAGCAGCGUAAUCAAAAAAUAAUAAAGGAAAAGAUGAAGAAUGUUUCCGUAGAAAAGUAUUGUUGAGCUGCCAGGAAGGUUAGGUCCUGAGUUAAUACUAAAGCGACUAGAAACCUACGACAAACAAACGAACAACAUAAGGAAAGGUCUCAUUUUAAAACUUCACAGAUACUUGUUUAUUUACUUGUUUACUUAUCUAUUCAUUAGUUUAGGAUAUGUUUUCAAGAUGAGGCUUCUCUGUGUAUACUCCUGGGUGUCUUGUAGACCAGGCUGUCCUCAAACUCAGAGAUUCUGCUCCCUCUGCUUUCAAGUGCUGGGAUUAAAGGCGUGAGCCCCCACUACCUGGAAACAUCACAGAAUUUUAAAUUCGUUAUUUUUGGUGUUUUAUGUUGUUGCUAUUCUUGCGGUAGACGUGCUCUUGCUAUGGCAAAAGGGUUAAAUGAUGAAGAUUAAAAUGAAACUGUCUGACACAGGCACUUUACAUGUCACAACUGGUGACAGAAGGCACCUGAUUAUGCACUGCUUGAUGGAUUAAAGAUCCAAUGGCCGAGGCUGAGAGUUACACUGCAAAGGAAACUUUUAUAAGGGAAAGGAGACCUUAAGAGCAUAGUUUUUGCACAACCCUGCAUUUCUGGUAAGAGUUCAAUAUAUUGGGCCAGAGAGAUGGCUUAGAGUGUGUGAUCGCUAUUCCUCGUUGUCAACCUGAUUCUGUCUGGAAUGAACUACAAUCCAGAAUUGGAAGGCUCACCUGUGAUCCAGAUCUUGAGUCUGGAGACACAAGUUUCUGACCUGGAUCUUGGCAUGGAGAUCUUGAGGCCUAGUGGCCAUGAAAAGCUUAAGCCCAGGCAGGGUAGCACACAUCUUUAAUCCCAGGAGACUGAGGCUAGGAGAUCUCUGAGUUCAAGAUCAGCCUGGGACAAAACAAGUCCCAGAUCUAGGAGUGGUGCACACACCUAUAAUCUGGGCCACACCUUCUGCUGGAGACCUACACAAGGACAUUGGAAGAAGGAAGAUUUACUCUUCCUCUCCUGCUUGCAUUUUUACUUGCCAGCACAUCUGUUGGAAUCUAUUUCCACAGAAGACCAGCUGAAACAACCAGCCUUGUGGGACUGAGCGACUACUACAUCCUUGGAUGCCUCAUUCACAGCUGACUAUUGUUGGGGAGUUGGACUACAGACUAAGUCAUUAUAACAAAUUCCCUUACUAUAUAGAGACUACCCAUACGAUCUGUGACUGCAGAACCCUAAUACAGAGGGUAAAGGCACUUGUCACCAAGCCUGAUGAUCCAAGUUCAAGAAGAGAGCCCACUCCUUCAGGUUGUCCUCUGGCCUCCAUGUGGCACUGUUGCACAUACAUAUGCACACAUUAAUAUAUAUGUAUGUACAUAUAUAAUGAUAAUAUAUACAUAUAUGUGUAUGUAUAUAUGUGUGUGUGUGUGUGUGUGUGUGUGUGUGUGUGUACAUAUACAUAUAGAGUACACACACAUAUUACAGUAACAUUUUAACCUGCUGGAAAUCAAUACAUAAAAGGUAUGUACAAAGGAGAAGGAAAAGAAUUUAGGGACUCUCUGCUUCUGAUCAUAACUGAUUCCAUUGCUAAACUUUAUUAAAAAAUAUCUGAGUAUCCCAUCCAUUCUUAUCAGACCUUGAGAGGCCCAGUGACACAGGCAGCUUUGGUCAGCGUUGUGGCUAGACUGAACAACUAUACAGAAUUCUGGAAACUGAAGUCUUUUGGAAAGAAAGACAAAGCAAUUGCCUGCCUACCUAGUUUGUGGAGGCCGUAUUCAUUCUCUUUCAACCAUAAGACCCCAAAAUGCACAUCAAAUUUCACUGUAAUGUGUAUGACUCAUGUGUUCCUGAAUGAAUUCAAGCCUCAGUCCCACACAUAGACCCAGUGUGAGAGAGUCUGGCCUGGCUCCUCUUGCAAAGCUUGUGCUCAGGAGCCUCUGACUAUGACUUGAGCAUGUAGCUGGUAAUAGCUCUUGAGACUAGACAACCGGGACUCCUCAAACAGCAUGGUGUGUAUGUCAGGGAGUGAUGUAGCCUGGGCCAGUUUCCUGCCCUUCUGGAGUUAUUAUUAUAGAUGUUCCAUUUUAACUAUCUGCAGAAGAAUUCUUCAGAGGCUGUGGAGAUGGCUCAGUGGUAAAGUGUUUGACACACAAGCACAAGAAAUGUGAGUUCUGAUUCUCAGAACCCAAUAAAGCUGAAUGCUGCAGAGCAGGUAUGUAAUCCCAAUGCCCUUCCAGCAGGAUGAAGGGCAGCCCGGAGAGUCUCCAGGGUGGGAUAGCCUGGCUCGUGCAUCAGCAAACAUCACGUUACCCUGCCUCAAGGUGCAACGUGAAGACUGACACCGAGGUUGUCCUUUAAACUCACACACACACACACACACACACACACACACACACACACACACACACUGUAGCACACAACUGUCUACUCAUACCUAAACAUGCAUGCACCCACAGAACAUUUUUAAAAUCCUUCUUUUUAGGGCUAUCUUGUUAUUAGUAGUAUCUGAAUUUUUUAAAAUUAAUUACAUAAUUUCUCCCUUCUCUUUUUCCCCUCUAAGCUGUCCCGUCUACCCCUCCUAGCCAGCUCUCUUUCAAACUCAUGGCUUCUCUUUUUUAAAUUGUUGUUGCACACAGUGUGCGCACAUGUGUAUGUCUCCACGUGUGCACAUGCAUACUUCUAAACAUGUAAAUGUGAGCACAGCUUGCUCGGUCUGAGUGAUGUUAUUUCUGUGGACACGUGUUCAGAGCUGACCGCUGGCUGGUGGAUACUCAGUUAUUGCGCUCGUCCCCACUUCUCCAGCUCUCAGCUUUUCUUGGUUGCUUGCAGCUCCUUGUCUACAGCUGAGGGCGCAUAAGUGUUCCCCUGUCCACCGUGUUGCCCUUGUCCAGGUCGUGCUUAGGUAGCCAUGUUGAUGAGCAAUUUCAUGAGUGUAGCUUCUGCCAUUUUUAGGAGACACAAUUCCACAGCGAAUUCUGUCCCUCUGACUCUUGGAAUCGUUCUGCCGCUCUUCUGAAAUGGUCCCUUAUAUGUGAGAGUUGUGUUGUGGGUGUAAUUGUUGCAAUUGUCUACAACUCUGCUUUUUGCUUGUGCUAUUAUUAUUUUUGACCACACUUGGCAUUGAACCUAGGCCUUUGCACAUACUAAUCAAAUCUUCUAACAAUUGAGUUGUCUUCUCAGCCUGCCCAUUCUAACUCCAGUAUAGAGCCUCAAUCUGGUAUCUGGGUCUCUGGGGCAGAUUUCUCCACUGAUCUCUGACCAAGGUUUCCUUUAACUCUGCUCUAUGAGCCCCGGGCUGAUGUCUGAAAGUUGACAGCUGUCUACAGACUUCCUGACUACUAGACUGAUGUCCUUCUUCACUCCUGUGAUGGUGUCCUGACCCUUUGGAUUCAGGGUGGAGUUAAUACAGGAAAUUGGUUACCAAGAAACUCAAAGGUUGAAGGAAAGCAAGACACAACAAAGAAAAGACAGAUCACCCAUGGCUGAGAGCAGUGACCUCACCAGAGUCUGGGGGACAGAAGGGAGUUGCCCGAGCUGCCAAAGCCCAAGAAAUCAGAGCCUUAAAGGACACUCGAAGAACAUUAAAAUGCUGUGACCACUUCUAAGCAGAGACUACGGUGCCUGGCAGAGUUCUUAGAAUUUAGUGGAUUUUCAACAUAGGCUUAUAUUUAACGAAUUAAUAAUGAAAGGCUUGAUUCUUCUGACAUCUUCCUUUAUGGUAAAGACAGUGAAUGGAAAAUCAGAGCUGAAGAAGAGGAGAUGCUUUUCAACGGACCUCUCAUUUGAAGUCCAGUGAGCACACAAUCAAGCGUUGGUCUUGCCAUCUCCGUUUCCGAGACUUGCCAGGUAUUUCCUGGGCUGUCAGCUGUUAGCUGGAGUGUGUGCAGGGUUCUGAGAGGUAUGGAGCCACAGGGAGCUGCAGUUUUAGCUCCUAGCUAUACUCGGCACCUCAGUUCCCAUGAAGAAUCAGCCUUCUCUCCUCCUGCUGGGAACCCCUCCUGGUGAGGGAUCCUGGGGGUGGCAGCCAUCUUCCCACAGCCUGUCACUGAGAGGAAAGAAUGGCACUGGGUCCAGUGUAACUGGAGGAUGUGACAACUGGAAGGACACAUGAGUGAUGGAGAAAUGUCUUUGUAAUCAGAACUAUUCGUUGGCCCUCAGCAUCUCCUAUCCAUUCCACUACGCAGACGGGGAGACUGAGUCAGUGGUGACUGGGAGAUCUGCACUGGCUCAGUCAGAAGCAAGACCAGACUGUUUCCAAGCUCUGAGCUGAAAGUGUCUGUGCUAGCUUUAUGCAGUUGCUGACCCGUUCCCGCUGGUGGGCACUUUGAUAAAUCAUUUCAAUUAGAAACAGAUGUUAUCAUGCUACACACAGAGAUGUAUCUUCCCAAGGUUCCAAACCAGCGAUGUUGCUAUUUAUGACUUCCAGUCGGUGUGUGGUCAGUGCUGGCCUAACCUCACACACGAACAAAUAAGCACACGGCAACGUUAGCUUUGGUGUUUCAGGAGAGCCGAGUAUAGAGUUGUGUGUCCUCCCUAGACAUAAGAUUAAUCUUGUUUGGGAAAUGGGCAGGGGAAAUAAGAGUUUGGGUUUUUGUGCAAAACAUCCAGCAAAUAACACAACAAAGGAGACUGUAGGAAUCUCUGUCUGGGAGGUAAUCACUGAAACAGCCUUCCUCACUCCAUGACACCUGGUUGAAACCAUCAUAGUUUGAGGACCUAAACUUGCAUGAAGAGGCAGUCCCAUGUCAUUUCUCCCGUAUUUAAUAUUCAUAUGGCUUUUGUUUUCUGAUAAUGACUCCCACUUAGCAAUAAAAUUAAUAUAUGCAAA